Molecule: long non-coding RNA, 848 nt
Filed under: Volvox carteri
Lineage: Eukaryota; Viridiplantae; Chlorophyta; Chlorophyceae; Chlamydomonadales; Volvocaceae
Description: long non-coding RNA (VCAR_LNC000032)
Source: RNAcentral
CUCCCUAGUCCUGUGCCAACAACCAUAAAAACCUGUACAAGUCAACGCCACCGCGUCGUUGACAGUGUCUUAAUGUCCUCAUCACGCAUCUGACAAGCCACGAUAGCCAUUCCACAUGGUGGAAUGCACAUCAUCCGCGGCAGAGCCCAUAUCAGCUGGCGUGUUUGGGCAAAUGCACCCCACGACCUGCUUAUCCACACCUCAACCAAACACGAAACCUGCAGGCAGGCUUGCGAAUGCCAAAGCAACUGCAAUGUGCACACAGCUGCAACUGGCUAUCCUGACAUGAAUGUACACCAUAAUUCUAUAAUGCUGGAAAGGCUGACAACAUACAUGCAACACUUGCAAAUGCCCUGAAUCUACAUCCUGCAAAGCAGAAGGCAACUAGCAGCACUAUCAGGUAAGACCUGCCAGGCUUACUGUAGCAGUCGCUCACCUGACGGGACGACUGACAGCGUGGAAGCGUGGAGUUGUUAGUCCUCACCGAUGUAGGAAGAAGUCCAACCAGGCGGCAAGCACUAGCGUACAUAGACGUGUACAUAACGAUUAGAGACGGCGGCAGCGGAGUCUUGAACUCCGAACACCUAGUAAUGUGAUACGUCAGUGUCUGGCCAGAACACCCCGCCCGGGUAGCUUAUAUCUCGGCCUACCUGCUGGAUAAUCCCUACUACGGACUUUGCCGUACUAGGAUAAUGUUGGUGGGGCCCGGGGCCCCAUCCCGUUAGAUUCGCUUACGAACAGCUGCCCAGUUCGCGACAUGUGACGAAACUCGGAACAUGUACGAAACUUGAGUCAAAUCGUUUAACAAAUUAACAGUUAUUGUUAAAAGUAAUCGUUAAAAUAUUCUA